GAGGCCAUAUCUAGUGUGUUAUUAAUCCUAUAGUAGGGCUUGGCAUCUUACAGUUCAAGAUUAAAUUUCAAAACUUUAACAAUUUAUAUUAGAAAAUUGUUACAUAACUUCUAAGCAUAUAAAAAUUCAUAUACAUACCUAAAUUGGUAUGGUGGUGGGGUUUGUGUGUGUGUUUUCUAGCACUCAAGCUACAGUUUAGACUAUAAUUACAUUGCAAUGAAUUUAGAACCCAUUCUGUACACUUAAACUUUGACUAUGUUGGUUAUGAAAUGUAUAUGUAUAUAUAAAGGAGACCUAUUAAACCCACCCAAAUCACAAAGGAAAAUUAUUUUCCUGUUAGCAUUGCUUAUUAAACAGGCAUUGUUUGUUAUUGUGAUUUAUAUUUUCCAAUAUAAUUUGGGAUUUUGGUCUCAUUCACAGUAGAAUGAAAGAUAUCUGUGAGUUAAAGGACAAAACUAAACAUUGCAAAUCUAAACAUUCAGAAAACAGAGGUGGUAAAUGACCUCUUCUACAUUUUACAAUAUUUUCAGGACAUUUAUGCUUAAUGCUGAGUUCUCAAAUGCAGAAAUACACAUAAAGAAGUGGUUUUAUAAUUCUUGCUAAGGUGAUAUAUUUCAUCUGCUUAAAAUUAUGCUGCUCCCUUAGUGUUAGAGGCCUUAUGUUUGGUAAUUACAAAUGUCUGGGCUAUAUGAGUCUCCUGUAUGUGCGUGUUUUGUUCCAGUUCCUUGAUGCUUGACUCAAAUUCUCUGUGUAUAAUUGUAUCAAAUAUUUAAAAAGUAAAAGGGUCGAAGAAAAUUGUUAAACAUCUGACCAGAAUCCUAUAUACCUUUAUAUAUAUAUUUGAAAAGUAAUAGACUGUGUUGAACAUGACUAUGCUGACCUGUCUGCCUUUUAGCCUGAUUCCUUCACUUUAGUGUUAUGGAAGUCUGUUGGAAACUUUUCCAAUAAGCUAAGUAAUGUUGUACCUUGCAAAAAAGCCUCCACUCUGACAAACAGGGCCUUAUAGAAUAGGAAUGUUUUCAUAUUGGGACUAUGGAGAUUUUACAGAUGUAUACAUCUGUUCCAUUUAAGGUGCCCUUAAAUGUGUUGAAUGUAAUGUGUUAAAUGUCUGUGUGUAAUUGCUAAAAUACAUGUAUGUGCAUAAGAUUGUCACAAGAUGUAUUCUCAGGAAUACUGUUCCCUGGAUUUUGAAGGCUCUUCUGAAAUUAACUUUUGAGAGACCUUGGAAUGAGCAUGUGUCCUCCACAAUAGUGGGUGUAGAUUUACUCAGAUUCAAUUAAAGCAGUUCAAAUUCUGGAUACACCAUUUUAUACAACAAAAUAUUUAACUUCUGUUUUUCAGUAUUUGCUGCUUU
This 1354-nucleotide long non-coding RNA is filed under the name Bos taurus (domestic cattle). RNAcentral's name for it is "long non-coding RNA NONBTAT011583". The record is from RNAcentral. Lineage: Eukaryota; Metazoa; Chordata; Mammalia; Artiodactyla; Bovidae.